Molecule: unclassified non-coding RNA, 212 nt
Filed under: Hevea brasiliensis (rubber tree)
Lineage: Eukaryota; Viridiplantae; Streptophyta; Magnoliopsida; Malpighiales; Euphorbiaceae
Source: RNAcentral
GUUUUUUAUCACAAUUGAUGAUCUAUGGAGAUCGUAGAGUUAAGAAAAUACCCAGAAUUUGUGUUGUAAGAGCAUCAGCAGUUGAUAGUUCGUCUCACUUUGUUGAACGCAUCGAGAAGGCAUGGUUGAUUUCUAAGCAACCUAGACCAAUUAUAUGCUCUACUUGUGACUCAAACGGUCUUGUUGAUUGCAACUGGUGCGGUGGUACUGGU